UGAUGACGAGACGCUAAGGCGUUGAAGCAGUGUAUGUCAGACUUCCAAGAAAAGCUCGCAAUGUCAUAGAUAAAAAAUGCCUGUACCAUAACCGACACAGGUGGGUAGGUAGAGUAUACUAAGGGGCGCGAGAUAACUCUCUCUAAGGAACUCGGCAAAAUGACUCCGUAACUUCGGGAGAAGGAGUGCCUUAUUUAUAAGGUUGCAAUAACAAGAUCCAAGCAACUGUUUAUCAAAAACACAGGUCUCCGCUAAGUCGUAAGACGAUGUAUGGGGGCUGACGCCUGCCCAGUGCCAGAAGGUUAAAGAAGUUGGUUAGUGUAUGCGAAGCUGAUGACUGAAGCCCUGGUGAACGGCGGCCGUAACAAUAACGGUCCUAAGGUAGCGAAAUUCCUUGUCGGGUAAGUUCCGACCCGCACGAAAGGCGUAAUGAUUUGGAUACUGUCUCGGAGAGAGGCUCGGUGAAAUAGACUUGUCUGUGAAGAUGCGGACUACCUGCACCAGGACAGAAAGACCCUAUGAAGCUUUACUGUAACUUGAAAUUGGAAUUGGACUUUGCUUGCGCAGUAUAGGUGGGAAGCGUUGAAGAUAUUCUUGCGGGAGUAUUGGAGCUAUCAGUGAGAUACCACUCUUGUAAUGUUAGAUUUCUAACUUUGAACCAUAAUCUGGUCAAAGAACAGUUUCAGGUGGGCAGUUUGACUGGGGCGGUCGCCUCCCAAAUGGUAACGGAGGCGUACAAAGGUUUCCUCUGAACGGAUAGAAAUCGUAUCUAGAGUGUAAAGGCAUAAGGAAGCUUGACUGUGAGACCUACAAGUCGAGCAGGGACGAAAGUCGGUCUUAGUGAUCUGACGGUACUGAGUGGAAAGGCCGUCACUCAACGGAUAAAAGUUACUCUAGGAUAACAGGCUGAUCUCCCCCAAGAGUUCACAUCGACGGGGAGGUUUGGCACCUCGAUGUCGGCUCAUCGCAUCCUGGGGCGGUAGUACGUCCCAAGGGUUGGGCUGUUCGCCCAUGAAAGCGGUACGCGAGCUGGGUUCAGAACGUCGUGAGACAGUUCGGUCCAUAUCCGGUGUAGGCGCUAGAAUAUUGAGAGGAGCCUUCUUUAGUACGAGAGGACCGAGAAGGACACACCGCUGGUGUACCAGUUAUCGUGCCAACGGUAAACGCUGGGUAGCUAUGUGUGGAGUGGAUAACCGCUGAAAGCAUCUAAGUGGGAAGCCCACCUCAAGAUGAG
This 1234-nucleotide ribosomal RNA is filed under the name metagenome. Its description in RNAcentral is "bacterial LSU rRNA". It matches the Rfam family "Bacterial large subunit ribosomal RNA", at positions 1564 to 2808 of the family's 2925-position model. The record is from RNAcentral.